GAUGAACGCUGGCGGCGUGCCUAAUACAUGCAAGUCGAGCGAACGGACGAGAAGCUUGCUUCUCUGAUGUUAGCGGCGGACGGGUGAGUAACACGUGGAUAACCUACCUAUAAGACUGGGAUAACUUCGGGAAACCGUAGCUAAUACCGGAUAAUAUUUUGAACCGCAUGGCUCAAAAGUGAAAGACGGUCUUGCUGUCACUUAUAGACGGAUCCGCGCUGCAUUAGCUAGUUGGUAAGGUAACGGCUUACCAAGGCAACGAUGCAUAGCCGACCUGAGAGGGUGAUCGGCCACACUGGAACUGAGACACGGUCCAGACUCCUACGGGAGGCAGCAGUAGGGAAUCUUCCGCAAUGGGCGAAAGCCUGACGGAGCAACGCCGCGUGAGUGAUGAAGGUCUUCGGAUCGUAAAACUCUGUUAUUAGGGAAGAACAUAUGUGUAAGUAACUGUGCACAUCUUGACGGUACCUAAUCAGAAAGCCACGGCUAACUACGUG
RNAcentral lists this ribosomal RNA (497 nucleotides) under uncultured bacterium. RNAcentral's name for it is "partial 16S ribosomal RNA". It matches the Rfam family "Bacterial small subunit ribosomal RNA", at positions 28 to 507 of the family's 1533-position model. The record is from RNAcentral.